This 72-nucleotide transfer RNA is filed under the name Sphaerodactylus townsendi. RNAcentral's name for it is "tRNA-Ala". Lineage: Eukaryota; Metazoa; Chordata; Lepidosauria; Squamata; Sphaerodactylidae. The record is from RNAcentral.
GGGGCUGUGGCUCAGCGGGAGAUCAGCUGCUUGGCAUGCAGAAGGUCCCCAGUUCAAUCCUCGCAAUUUCCA